UCCGGCUUACACCGGCGGUCUCCUGUGAGUGCCCGACAUUACUCGCUGGUAACACAGAACGAGGGUUGCGCUCGUUGGCGGACUUAACCGUACACCUCACGGCACGAGCUGACGACAGCCAUGCAACAUCUGUUUUCAGGUCGCCCUUGUGGGGCGAGGGACGUAUCUCUACGCCUUUCCUUCAAUGUCAAGAGUGGGUAAGGUUCUUCGGUUAGUAUCGAAUUAAUCCACAUGCUCCACCGCUUGUGCGGGUCCCCGUCAAUUCAUUUGAGUUUCAACCUUGCGGCCGUACUCCCCAGGCGGGAUACUUAAUGCGUUAGCUGCGGCACAGGAGGGGUCGAUACCUCCUACGCCUAGUAUCCAUCGUUUAGGGCGUGGACUAC
This 383-nucleotide unclassified non-coding RNA is filed under the name uncultured Armatimonadota bacterium. RNAcentral describes it as "uncultured Armatimonadetes bacterium contains 16S-23S intergenic spacer region". Lineage: Bacteria; Bacillati; Armatimonadota. The record is from RNAcentral.